GCUGCCUCUAUCCUUCAACACACCUAUUAAUAGAAAUUGUUUACUUUGUUUCUAUGUAUAUAAUUUUUCUUGCUCCAAAUUCCAAACACUUUUCUUUAUUCCUCAUUUUAAAAAUAGCACUAUAAUCUCAAUGGGCCUUGACUCUUUCCAGCUUUCGGGCUAGAGCUAUUUACUUUCAGUUCUAACUAUUUACACUCCCCUUUUCCUUCUUACACUCCCAUGUUUUCUUUUGACCUCAUUUUCACCCGUCUACUCCUUGCAUACUACACUAACCCCUUUAUAUUCUACUCUCUCGAUUUUGUGAAGAUUCAAUUAAAGUAUUUUGUUUGUCGUCAAUUAAAUUAAAUCAUCUUCAAUCAUUCAAUUUUACUACUUAUUUUUCUCAAGCAUUUGAUUUGAAAUACCUCUUUAAAA
This 414-nucleotide long non-coding RNA is filed under the name Vigna radiata. RNAcentral's name for it is "long non-coding RNA (VRAD_LNC002455)". The record is from RNAcentral. Lineage: Eukaryota; Viridiplantae; Streptophyta; Magnoliopsida; Fabales; Fabaceae.